This 439-nucleotide ribosomal RNA is filed under the name uncultured bacterium. Its description in RNAcentral is "partial 16S ribosomal RNA". It matches the Rfam family "Bacterial small subunit ribosomal RNA", at positions 339 to 795 of the family's 1533-position model. The record is from RNAcentral.
CUACGGGAGGCUGCAGUGAGGAAUAUUGCACAAUGGGGGAAACCCUGAUGCAGCAACGCCGCGUGGAGGAUGACGCAUUUCGGUGUGUAAACUCCUUUUAUGAGUCAAGAAAAUGACGGUAGCUCAUGAAUAAGCACCGGCUAACUCCGUGCCAGCAGCCGCGGUAAUACGGAGGGUGCAAGCGUUACUCGGAAUCACUGGGCGUAAAGGACGCGUAGGCGGGUUGUCAAGUCAGGUGUGAAAUCCUACAGCUUAACUGUAGAACUGCACUUGAAACUGGCAACCUAGAGUAUGGGAGGGGGAGAUGGAAUUAGUGGUGUAGGGGUAAAAUCCGUAGAUAUCACUAGGAAUACCGAAAGCGAAGGCGAUCUCCUGGAACAUUACUGACGCUAAGGCGUGAAAGCGUGGGGAGCAAACAGGAUUAGAUACCCCAGUAGUC